CCUCUUUAUUGUUUGUUUGGUUUCUCUUCUUAAUUAUUUUGUUUUCCUCUCUUGACUGUUGACGGCGCUCCACUAUUCAUUCCUUCUUUAUUCUUAUUCUUUUUGGUAUGUUGCUUUAUUGAGUUCAGAAAUCAGUUAACUAUAUAGCAGAUUCUGACAUUUCAAACUUAUUCUCAGGAUGCAGCUAACUAUCGCGAUGAGCUGAGAGAAAUUGCGCCCCACUCUCUUUUGAAAUGCUCAAGUGAUGCAACAACCUUGGGAAUCAGGGUUCAAGUGAGGUGUGUGUAUAUUGAGGGCCGGAGUCAGCCUUCAAAGGGUCGCUAUUUCUUUGCAUACAGAAUACAAAUUACCAAUAACUCAGAACGCCCUGUCCAACUUCUUAGAAGACAUUGGAUUAUAACCGAUGCCCAUGGAAAAACUGAGAAUGUCUGGGGGAUUGGUGUUAUUGGUGAAUCGCCA
This is a long non-coding RNA of Humulus lupulus (European hop), 459 nucleotides long. RefSeq lists it as uncharacterized. Lineage: Eukaryota; Viridiplantae; Streptophyta; Magnoliopsida; Rosales; Cannabaceae. The record is from RefSeq and is a predicted model, not a curated record. The transcript has 3 exons.